GCCCACCUAGCUCAGUUGGUAGAGCAUGAGACUCUUAAUCUCAGGGUUGUGGGUUCAUGCCCCAUGUUGGGCA
This 73-nucleotide transfer RNA is filed under the name Neotoma lepida (desert woodrat). It matches the Rfam family "tRNA". From Rfam's summary of the family: Transfer RNA (tRNA) molecules are approximately 80 nucleotides in length. Their secondary structure includes four short double-helical elements and three loops (D, anti-codon, and T loops). Further hydrogen bonds mediate the characteristic L-shaped molecular structure. tRNAs have two regions of fundamental functional importance: the anti-codon, which is responsible for specific mRNA codon recognition, and the 3' end, to which the tRNAs corresponding amino acid is attached (by aminoacyl-tRNA synthetases). tRNAs cope with the degeneracy of the genetic code in two manners: having more than one tRNA (with a specific anti-codon) for a particular amino acid; and 'wobble' base-pairing, i.e. permitting non-standard base-pairing at the 3rd anti-codon position. Lineage: Eukaryota; Metazoa; Chordata; Mammalia; Rodentia; Cricetidae. The record is from Rfam by way of RNAcentral.